Molecule: long non-coding RNA, 1659 nt
Organism: Arachis stenosperma
Lineage: Eukaryota; Viridiplantae; Streptophyta; Magnoliopsida; Fabales; Fabaceae
Exons: 5
Source: RefSeq, a predicted model, not a curated record
CCCGAUUUAUCUGAACUUGGUGUGCUGCAGCUAUUGUUUGGUAUCCAGUUCAACAAUGAAAAGAGGGGGGCUAAAGUAUUAAUCAAGUAUCAUAAUAAGUAUUUCACAUAUCAAAAAUCUCAGACCUUGGUUAAGUUUAAUUGCAAGUUGCAAUGUGCUCUCCUUAUUCUGUUAACCAACGCUUGUUUAAAUGACAAUGUAUUUGUUGUAUGAUAAGGUGAGUAUUAAAGUGCUGAUUAAUACCUUGUUGGUGCUGAAAAAUUUUCAUCCUUUAGAUAUUACUUCUAAAGUGUCCAGCCUAAAGUUUCAUCCAGCAUGAACAGAUCAAGAAAAUGGAGCAUCUAUAUUGAAAGCUCUUUCUGCAGUUAUGCUUUCAACCCAAGGGUAUUCUAUUAUAUGCUUUGUGAUUUAGUUUACACUACAAGAGGCGCGGGACUUAGCAGCCCCAAAUUGCCGGCCGUUCUCCCCAACCGUUCCAAAUUGCCUUAUUUGUUGCGAUUCCUGCUGCGUUAAUACUCCCCCGCACCAAAUAAACUGAACCGGGGUGUUACCUGCGGUAAAAUACCAGCCCUUUUUCCAGAGCGCUGCUGUUCGAGUGAGCUGCUGCAGUUCUUCAUGCGUUUUGAUGGUCCGCCUCCAAUAAAUCCAAAAUGGUUGCCCUCUUUGUCCAACCGCAUCUAAUAACAAGGUGGGAGAAGUGGGUUGUUUCAUUAAAGAACCACAACCAAUACAUUAAGGCGCCAAUAACUUUCCCUCUUUUUGGCGUGAACCCUAGCAGAGCAUAGCGCCAAUCGCGGGUCUCCUUCCACCACCGUCGUGACGUCGUCGGCAGCCUUCCCCCUUGCCCUUGCCCUGCUGUGCGCUGAUCGCCCCCUCUCCCCUCUCUCAGGUUCUCUGACGAGCGGGUAUAUCGGAGCUCUGAAAUAAUUUACUUGGGGUGUAUUCCUGUACCUGCAGCUGUGACAGGUGCUGUGGCUGUAGAGUUUAUUAUAUGCCAUGCAGAGGUAUGUGUAUCAUUUGUAGAAGAAAAGAAAAUACCGGAUGUUCGCCUAUUAAAAUACCUUCUUUUUUUAUAUUGGUUUACUAUUUUUGAAAGAUUAGCUACUGUGUACAAUACAUUGACUCUUAUCUAUCUAUCUUUUUCCUGAAAAUGUUUUAGCUAUUGAAGACAUUUCCAAAUACCACAAAGUAUCUCAAGACGCCUAUGAGCUUUGGGAAGGUUACACCUGAACAAAAGCAAGAAGUUGAAAAGUUUGGGUUGGCAAUAUAUUCGUGGGAUGAACUUAUAACUAAAAGAGCAGACAAGCAGGAAGGCAGUGGAGAAUGAAGUAGCAGCCGAGAAGACUAAAAGACAGGCGGUGGAGGAUGAAGUAGCAUCUGAGAAGACCAAAAGACAGGCAGUGGAGGAUGAAGUAGCAGUUGGAAAGGUCAGGAUGCAGACAAUGGAGAGUGCUUUGUUAUGUCUACUUCAAGGGCAAGAUAGGAAGCUGCCAUCAGACGUUGCCACAUGGAUGAGUGCGUUGGAGGGAUAGAAUAGAAAGUAGAUCUUAGGAUUGUGGAACCUUUUCUUCUUUCAGAUAUACACUUUUAUUUUGUUGAUUAUGCAACUCUUAGUAAGGAGUACACUUUGUUGAUAUUCGGAUAAUUAUAUUAAUUAAA